UACGUAGGGGCCUAGCGUUGUCCGGAAUUAUUGGGCGUAAAGAGCUCGUAGGCGGUUCGGCAAGUCGGAUGUGAAAUCUCCACGCUCAACGUGGAGGGGCCAUUCGAAACUGCCGUGACUCGAGUCCGGUAGGGGAGUGUGGAAUUCCCGGUGUAGCGGUGAAAUGCGCAGAUAUCAGGAGGAACACCAAUUGCGAAGGCAGCUCGCUGGGACGUUACUGACGCUGAGACGCGAAAGCGUGGGGAGCAAACAGG
RNAcentral lists this ribosomal RNA (254 nucleotides) under uncultured bacterium. RNAcentral's name for it is "partial 16S ribosomal RNA". It matches the Rfam family "Bacterial small subunit ribosomal RNA", at positions 524 to 776 of the family's 1533-position model. The record is from RNAcentral.